CCCAACUAUCCCUAUUAAUCAUUACGUCGAUCUAAGAAACCAACAAAAUAAGAUCAACGUCCUAUUUCAUUAUUCCAUGCUAAUGUAUUCAAGCGCGAGCCUGCUUUAAACACUCUAAUUUUUUCAAAGUAACAGUCCUGAUUCCCCGUCACACUAAAUUAAUGGCAUGACGGUUCGUUAGAAGGAAGGAAUCAGUGACACUAGUACAUACCGAAGCAUGACCGGCGUACUGAUUCCGAAAUUCAACUACGAGCUUUUUAACUGCAACAACUUUAAUAUACGCUAUUGGAGCUGGAAUUACCGCGGCUGCUGGCACCAGACUUGCCCUCCAA
RNAcentral lists this unclassified non-coding RNA (332 nucleotides) under uncultured Glomerales. RNAcentral's name for it is "sequence contains 18S rRNA gene". RNAcentral also lists the same sequence under 1 other name. The record is from RNAcentral. Lineage: Eukaryota; Fungi; Glomeromycota; Glomeromycetes; Glomerales; Glomeraceae.